UAACACAUGCAGUCAAACGGAGUUAACGCUAUAGCAAUAUAGUGUUAACUUAGUGGCGGACGGGUGAGUAACACGUAGGUAACCUACCUUCAAGAGGGGGAUAACUCCGAGAAAUCGGAGAUAAUACCGCGUAAGACCACGGGCUGAAAUGCUUGUGGUAAAAGGAGCAAUCCGCUUGAAGAUGGGCUUGCGGCCUAUCAGGUAGUUGGUAGGGUAAUAGCCUACCAAGCCUAUGACGGGUAGCCGGGCUGAGAGGUUGUACGGCCACACUGGGACUGAGACACGGCCCUGACUCCUACGGGAGGCAGCAGUGAGGAAUCUUGCGCAAUGGGGGAAACCCUGACGCAGCGACGCCGCGUGGAGGAUGAAGGCUUUCGGGUUGUAAACUCCUUUUAUUGGGGAAAAUAGUGAUGGUACCCAAGGAAAAAGCCACGGCUAACUCUGUGGCAGCAGCCGCGGUAAGACAGAGGUGGCAAGCGUUGUUCGGAAUUACUGGGCUUAAAGGGCGAAUAGGCGGUGAAGUAAGUUCAGGGUGGAAUCCUAAGGCUUAACCGUAGAAGUGCCUUGGAUACUGCUUCACUUGAGUCAGCGAGAGGAGGACGGAAUUCCCGGUGUAGCGGUGGAAAUGCGUAGAAAUCGGGAGGAAGGUCUGUGGCGAAGGCGGUCCUCUGGCACUGUACUGACGCUGAGGCGCGAAAGCGUGGGUAGCAAACAGGAUUAGAAACCCUGGUAGUCCACGCCCUAAACGGUGGGCAUUAGGUGUGAGGCUCUUAUGGGUUUCGUGCCGAAGGGAAACCAUUAAAUGCCCCGCCUGGGGAUAACGGCCGCAAGGUUGAAACUCAAAGGAAUUGACGGGGGCCCGCACAAGGGGUGGAAGCAUGGGGUUUAAUUCGACGCUACGCGAAGAACCUUACCUGGGUUUGACAUGCUAGUAGUAAAAACCCGAAAGGGAGAUGACUUAGGGGUAACCCUGGGAGCUAGCACAGGUGCUGCAUGGCUGUCGUCAGCUCGUGCCGUGAGGUGUUGGGUUAAGUCCCGCAACGAGCGCAACCCUUAUCCUCUGUUGGUCGGAGACGACCUCUCUGAGGAAACUGCCAGCGACAAGCUGGAGGAAGGUGGGGAUGACGUCAAGUCAUCAUGGCCCUUAUAUCCAGGGCGACACACGUGCUACAAUGGCCGUUACAGAGGGUAGCAAUGCCGUGAGGUGGAGCAAUCCCUAAAAGCGGUCUCAGUUGGGAUCGGAGUCUGCAACUCGACUCUGUGAACGCGGAAUCGCUAGUAAUCGCGGAUCAGCCACGCCGCGGUGAAUACGUUCCCGGGCCUUGUACACACCGCCCGUCACACCACGAAAGUCUGUUGUACCCGAAGCUGGUGAGCUAACCCGCAAGGGGGGCAGCCAUAUAAGGUAUGA
This 1411-nucleotide ribosomal RNA is filed under the name uncultured Nitrospirota bacterium. RNAcentral describes it as "bacterial SSU rRNA". It matches the Rfam family "Bacterial small subunit ribosomal RNA". Lineage: Bacteria; Pseudomonadati; Nitrospirota. The record is from RNAcentral.